CACGGGGGGAGCAAGCGUUGUUCGGAAUCACUGGGCGUAAAGGGCGCGUAGGCGGCCUGUUAAGUCGAACGUGAAAUCCCCGGGCUCAACCCGGGAACUGCGUCCGAUACUGGCAGGCUUGAAUUCGGGAGAGGGAUGCGGAAUUCCAGGUGUAGCGGUGAAAUGCGUAGAUAUCUGGAGGAACACCGGUGGCGAAGGCGGCAUCCUGGACCGAGAUUGACGCUGAUGCGCGAAAGCCAGGGGAGCAAACGGG
This 253-nucleotide ribosomal RNA is filed under the name uncultured bacterium. RNAcentral's name for it is "partial 16S ribosomal RNA". It matches the Rfam family "Bacterial small subunit ribosomal RNA", at positions 524 to 776 of the family's 1533-position model. The record is from RNAcentral.